CUGGGUAUGCUUAGUGGUAGAGCACUUGCCUAGUAUGCAUGAGGCCCUGGGUUCAAUCCCUAGUGCACACA
Molecule: transfer RNA, 71 nt
Filed under: Ictidomys tridecemlineatus (thirteen-lined ground squirrel)
Lineage: Eukaryota; Metazoa; Chordata; Mammalia; Rodentia; Sciuridae
Description: Spermophilus tridecemlineatus (thirteen-lined ground squirrel) tRNA
Rfam family: tRNA
About the family: Transfer RNA (tRNA) molecules are approximately 80 nucleotides in length. Their secondary structure includes four short double-helical elements and three loops (D, anti-codon, and T loops).
Source: Rfam by way of RNAcentral